Molecule: ribosomal RNA, 227 nt
Filed under: uncultured bacterium
Lineage: Bacteria
Description: partial 16S ribosomal RNA
Rfam family: Bacterial small subunit ribosomal RNA
Source: RNAcentral
CUGAACCAGCCAAGUAGCGUGAAGGAUGACUGCCCUAUGGGUUGUAAACUUCUUUUAUAAAGGAAUAAAGUCGGGUAUGGAUACCCGUUUGCAUGUACUUUAUGAAUAAGGAUCGGCUAACUCCGUGCCAGCAGCCGCGGUAAUACGGAGGAUCCGAGCGUUAUCCGGACUUAUUGGGUUUAAAGGGAGCGUAGAUGGAUGUUUAAGUCAGUUGUGAAAGUUUGCGG